AAAAUAAUCCUACCCUUUGUGAAUUUUGUUUGUUUGAAUAAUUUUUUUUUUAAAAAAUUAUUGGAGUCUUUCCCUUUAGAGUUUGCUUUUGAGUUUGUAAAAGAAUUCGAAAACAUCUAAAGGGGAUGGUCAAUAAUUUUUUUUGAAAAAGACAUUUUUUAAAAUUAAACUUUUUGUAUUCAUUUGUCUAAAAAUUAUUUUUAUAAUAUAAAAACAACUUUUGACAAUGGAUCUCUUGGUUCUCGCAACGAUGAAGAACGCAGCAAAAUGCGAUAAGUAGUGUGAAUUGCAGAAUACGUGAAUCAUCGAAUCUUUGAACGCAUAUUGCACUUUUUUAGUUUACUAAAAAAGUAUGUCUGUUUGAGUAUCAGUAAAAUAUUCUCAUAAAAAUCAUUGUGUAUUUUUAUGGUUAUGAGUGUUUUACAACGAUACAAGUUGUUUCACUUUAAAUUUUUUUUUAAUAUUGAAAUUUUUCUAAUUUUAAUAAUUAAAAUUGGAUAAAAUUUUCCCGUCAAAAGGAAUAACCUAAACAAUUUUAAAUGAUUAAUUUUAGCAAAAUUUUCGUAAAAAAGGAAAAUUUUUAUUAAAAUAACUUGAUCUCAAAUCAGAUAAGAGUACCCGCUGAACUUAAGCAUAUCAAUAAGCGGAGGAAAAGAAACUAACAAGGAUUCCCUUAGUAACGGCGAGUGAAGCGGGAAGAGCUCAAAUUUGAAAUCUUCAAGGUUUUACCUUGACGAAUUGUAGUUUAAAGAAGUGUUUUCUGCUGAAGUUUUGGUAAAAGUUCUUUGGAAUAGGACAUCAUAGAGGGUGAGAAUCCCGUAUUUGACCAUUAUUUUCAGCUUUGUGAUACACUUUCAAAGAGUCGGAUUGUUUGGGAAUGCAGUCCAAAAUGGGUGGUAAAUUUCAUCUAAAGCUAAAUAUUGGCGAGAGACCGAUAGCGAACAAGUACCGUGAGGGAAAGAUGAGAGAACUUUGAAAAGAGAGUUAAACAGUACGUGAAAUUGUCAAAAGGGAAGCGUUUGACACCAGUGUUGUUUUCUCGAAAAUCAAUUAAAAAUGGCUCGAUUUUGUAUUGCUUGAGACCUUAAAAGCUCACUGUACAUUUUUCGUGUCUUUUUUAAUGCACUUUUCGUUUAACAAGUCAACAUCAGUUUCUUUUGUUGUAAAAGGGUCAUUGGAAGGUGGCUUCUUUUCGGAGAAAGUGUUUAUAGCCUUUGGCCUCUGCAAUCGGAGAGACUGAGGUCUGCAGCGUAGACUCUUCGGGUUAGAUACAUUUGUGCUAAGUUAUAGCUUUUAUAGACAACUUGUUGACUAUAAUUAGCUUGUAGCUUACUCGCUUAUGCUAUUU
RNAcentral lists this unclassified non-coding RNA (1348 nucleotides) under uncultured Neocallimastigales. Its description in RNAcentral is "partial contains internal transcribed spacer 1, 5.8S ribosomal RNA, internal transcribed spacer 2, and large subunit ribosomal RNA". The stretch from base 595 to 1348 matches the Rfam family "Eukaryotic large subunit ribosomal RNA", at positions 1 to 617 of the family's 3401-position model. Lineage: Eukaryota; Fungi; Neocallimastigomycota; Neocallimastigomycetes; Neocallimastigales. The record is from RNAcentral.